GACGAACGCUGGCGGCGUGCCUAAUACAUGCAAGUUGAGCGCUGAAGGUUGGUCCUUGUACUAACUGGAUGAGCAGCGAACGGGUGAGUAACGCGUGGGGAAUCUGCCUUUGAGCGGGGGACAACAUUUGGAAACGAAUGCUAAUACCGCAUAAAAACUUUAAACACAAGUUUUAAGUUUGAAAGAUGCAAUUGCAUCACUCAAAGAUGAUCCCGCGUUGUAUUAGCUAGUUGGUGAGGUAAAGGCUCACCAAGGCGAUGAUACAUAGCCGACCUGAGAGGUUGAUCGGCCACAUGGGGACGAGGACACGCCCCAAACUCUUCCGGGAGGCAGCAGAAGGGAAUCUUCGGCAAUGGAGGAAAGUCGAACCGAGCAAGCCGGCGUGAGUGAAGAGGGUUUUCGGAUCGUAAAACUCUGUUGGUAGAGAAGAACGUUGGUGGGAGUGGAAAGCUCAUCAAGUGAGGGAACUACCCAGAAAGGGACGGCUAACUACGUG
RNAcentral lists this ribosomal RNA (496 nucleotides) under uncultured bacterium. RNAcentral's name for it is "partial 16S ribosomal RNA". It matches the Rfam family "Bacterial small subunit ribosomal RNA", at positions 28 to 507 of the family's 1533-position model. The record is from RNAcentral.